AGUGAACGCUGGCGGCGUGCUUAACACAUGCAAGUCGAACGAGAACGGAUUAUAGCUUGCUAUAAUUGUCAGCUAAGUGGCGCACGGGUGAGUAAUGUAUAGGUAAUAUGCCUCUUACUAAGGGAUAACAAAUGGAAACGUUUGCUAAUACCUUAUACUCCUUAUUAACAGAAGUUAAUAGGGGAAAGAUUUAUUGGUAAGAGAUUAGCCUGUAUUGUAUCAGUUAGUUGGUGGGGUAAUGGCUUACCAAGACUAUGACACAUAACUGGUUUGAGAGGAUGGUCAGUCACACUGGAACUGAGACACGGUCCAGACUCCUACGGGAGGCAGCAGUGGGGAAUAUUGCACAAUGGACGAAAGUCUGAUGCAGCAACGCCGCGUGGAGGAUGACACAUUUCGGUGCGUAAACUCCUUUUAUAUGAGAAGAUAAUGACGGUAUUAUAUGAAUAAGCACCGGCUAACUCCGUGCCAGCCGCCGCGGUAA
Molecule: ribosomal RNA, 484 nt
Filed under: uncultured bacterium
Lineage: Bacteria
Description: partial 16S ribosomal RNA
Rfam family: Bacterial small subunit ribosomal RNA
Source: RNAcentral